RNAcentral lists this ribosomal RNA (428 nucleotides) under uncultured bacterium. RNAcentral's name for it is "bacterial SSU rRNA". It matches the Rfam family "Bacterial small subunit ribosomal RNA", at positions 354 to 774 of the family's 1533-position model. The record is from RNAcentral.
GUAGGGAAUAUUGGACAAUGGGCGCAAGCCUGAUCCAGCCAUGCCGCGUGAGUGAAGAAGGCCCUCGGGUUGUAAAGCUCUUUUGUCCGGAAAGAAAAGCAUCGGGUUAAUACCCCGGUGUUCUGACGGUACCGGAAGAAUAAGCACCGGCUAACUUCGUGCCAGCAGCCGCGGUAAUACGAAGGGUGCAAGCGUUACUCGGAAUUACUGGGCGUAAAGCGUGCGUAGGUGGUUCGUUAAGUCUGAUGUGAAAGCCCUGGGCUCAACCUGGGAAUGGCAUUGGAAACUGGCGGACUGGAGUGCGGUAGAGNGUAGCGGAAUUCCCGGUGUAGCAGUGAAAUGCGUAGAGAUCGGGAGGAACAUCCGUGGCGAAGGCGGCUACCUGGACCAGCACUGACACUGAGGCACGAAAGCGUGGGGAGCAAACA